This is a non-coding RNA of Caretta caretta (loggerhead turtle), 3421 nucleotides long. NCBI's taxonomy places the organism in Eukaryota, Metazoa, Chordata, Testudines, Cheloniidae. The record is from RefSeq and is a predicted model, not a curated record.
CAUGGAGACUUGCUCCCUUGCCCCAAGCCCCUGAGUGUGUUUGUGGCUUGCUCCCUAGGUAGUGGUGGAGGCUGAGAAGCUGGGGAGAGCUGUCCGGGCAGCUGAGCAGGCCCUCCAGCAGGAUGCCCCAGCACCGCCUCCCAGCCUGUUCGAUGAGCUGAGGGACUCAGUCUUCAGCACCCUACUGCCGUACUGGGCUGGGUUCCGAAAGGCCUGGCUGAAGCGGUCGCUUGAGAGCGUCCAGAGAGCCCCGGUGCUGAGAGCCCAGCAGCUCCUACAGCAGAGACGGGCCCUGUUUGAGCGGUCCCAGGGCCCACCACAAACAUUCCAACUGUCUCCUCUGCAGCAGCAUGCAAACGUGAAGGGGAGCAAGCAGCAGGGCGGCUUCACUUACACCUUCUCCAUCAGCAGGGGCAUUGCCCUGAAGGCCUCCAGCAGAGAAGAUAUGGGCAACUGCACUUCUGUGUUUGGAAACGGCAAGAGGUCAGCACGAGUUCAGCUUCCUCACCUUCCCGAGGUGCCGGUGCUGCUCUGACCAGGACAGAAAGCGCUCUAGCCUACAGCACCCAAUGUAGAGCCAUAACGCUGGCAACACGAGUGGCAGCUAGAGGUGGCUGGUGUGCUGCAAAAUCAAGCUCUGAGCUGUUUUUAAACACAGGGAAGGCAAACAGGUAACAGCUAGGAGACACAUCUGGGAAGUGACCCUCUGCUGUAUGGUGGCAUGGUAAAGCAAGGCUCGGGCACCCCGCUGGAAGUUCAAGGUCCCUUGGCACCGAGAGAAAACCUGGGAGUCUUGGCCUAAGUCCCUCUCUCAUUAAGGAGGGUUUCAAUUACCCAGACUGGACACAAGCUCUUGCUGAACCCAGAAGAGCGGAGGCAGCUGCCUGCAUUCUCAGUGCUGCUGAAGUAGCUGAAUCAGUGCACUGAGGAGCACAAAAGGCACCAGAUCUGCUCUCUCCCUCCACAAAAAGACCAACGCCCCCCUCGCCAGCAUUUCCAUCUCCUGUUCAAAGGAUCAGGUUAACAUCAAUCACAUGAUAGUGAAAAGCCCUCGUAGGAAGAGUCCUUGUAGAGUGGCUGGGAGCCGAGAUCACAGUGGGCUAUCUGUGUGAUGUUAAGGGUUAAGCCUCACAUGGAGUUUCCAGGUCUGAGAGCUGCAGCCACCAGGGCAAUUCCAGCCUAAGCUUUGAGACAGACAUGGGUGGGCUGCUUAUCUGACAUAACAGGUCGAUUCUGUAUUCUCAUUCAGACCCUCCCCUCUCUGCCUCCAGUCUGGAGGCAGCUGGGCAGAACAAGGUGCUUGCUCUUCCUCCCUCCCAGAGUGAACAGCCCACCCACGCUCUUACAGCACACGUGACGCUAAAAUGAAGGCAAGGCAGCCCUUUGCCCAGAGCAGGGUCAUACGCCAGGUGCAGCAGGGCGGGGCUGGAGGGUUUGUUAACCAGGGGUGGAGUUCAAAGGAUGUGGUGUCAUAGCUCAUGCUACAGCUAUGCAUUUGGCUCUUAUUUUAUGGCACUAGCCUGUGUCCCUAUUAAAAAUGACUGAGUUGAUCAUCAGGUGAGGGACUGAGUUCCAGGCCCAUAAGAGCCGCUCUACAAACUCAAGGCUCUUGGGCCAAAGUGGGGUAGCGGCCAGUGCCAGAGGAUGGUGCAACAGUGCUGGCAGCUGGGCAGCGCUGGCUGUGGGGCUGAGGGAUUCCACCACUGCCUGCACGGCAGUCAGCUCAGAUCCUGACAUGGGACAUUCACUCACACUGUGCCUGCUGCAGCCUCAUGACCUCCUGGCUAGCCUUAACCACUGAACUCUUGCCCCCUUGUGUGCAUUCAAAGUGCUGCUAACAUCAGCUUCCCAGCUCAUCGCCCACCUCGGGCUCCCCCUGCUCCACGGCAUCGAACAUGAGCUACUUACCUUUCUGUCUCUUCACAACUUAGCCCCAGCUGCUCUUGUAAUUCCUCCUGCUGCCGAGAUGCUGCUUUUGCUCUGCCAGCAUUCCCUGAUUGCACUGCCCAGUCACUUUGGCCUCGAUUCACAAAGGGACUUAGGCACCUAAGUCUGGGUUGAGGCCCCAAGCCCCAGUUUUAGGCGAUUCACAGAACUGGCAAACCCUCUCAGUGCCAUGUUUCUGAUGUAAAAGUUCCUGUGUUGACAGUGUUUGAGGCUUUGGGCAUGUGCACUGCUGCGUCACUCUAGGGGUCUGGAUGCCUGGCUCCUGCCUACGCCCCAUGGGGGGGGAGGAGUAGGAGUUUGGCCAAAUGUAUGGGGCCUGAGCCAUAGGCAUGCUCAGAGGCUGCCUACCAGUUGGGCCGCUCAGGCACACACAAGUCAGCCAGGGGGAGUGGCCCUCCUACAUCACUCUUUUAGCCCAGUGGUUAGGGUGCUCACCUGGGCUGCGGGAGAGCACCCGUUUCAAGUCCCUCCCUCCACUUGAGGGGGAGAAGGGAUUUGAACUGGAGCCUUGUCAUCUCUCGGGACGUACUCUAACCACCGGGCUAUGGGAUAGUCCCAUGUGAGGCUCCCUGAAUCUCUCCCAUUGAGGCUGUUUCACUGUGGAUAAAUAAUUAGUCAUUUGAGCCAGGGAGACAGAGAGCACACACAUGUCCAACAAUUAGGGCACUCACCUAAGAUGGGGCAGAUCCCAGUUCAAAUCCUCGGGGGGACUUUAACUGGGGGUCUCCCAGGUUAGAAUCCGAACCACUGGGCUAAAAGUUAUGAAAGAGGCCCUCCUCCCCGCCCAGCCUCUUGCAGAAGUGGCAUAGGUGCCUAACUCCAAAGAGGGUUCCUGGCUAAGAACGCUGGCAGAGAUACACACCUCCCUGCCUGGACCUAGGCGCCUGUCUCUGUGAGAGGAGCAGGGCUUAGCACAUCCUCUGCUGGUUGGCAGCUCCCUGCCUACCAUGCUGGCUUUUGGGAAAUGCAGUCUAAAGCGCCGGUCUCGCCCCAGGCACUGUGUAGGUGCUAAACUCAGGCUUUGUGACUUGCAACAUGGUUCUGUGAUUUUCUAGGCCCUAACAGGUAGGUGCUGUAACACUCAGUGUUGCAACACCAAAGUACCUUUGUGCAUCCAGGCUUUCCCUCAUCCCACCCUUUAUGCAUGGGGAAAUUCCCCCUAAAAUCCAUGCCACCACCACCUCAUCCUUCAAGCUCCUGCUGUGAUUCCUCCCAAACCCUAGCAGCUGAUAAGACCAGGCCAGGGGUGAGCUACCUCUACUGCUUACAGCAAUUUCACUGUUUACCCUAUCAGUCCUACCCUCCGUCCACACCUUUUGCAUCUUGGUAUAAACCAAGUUUUGCAAGGCCUUUGGGGCAGGGAGUGUCUUCGCUUUAGAUCGACAUAGCCUGGGGCAGGGGCUCUAGGCACUGCUGUAAUACACAUAAUAAUGAGGUUUAAAUUACCCAGGUUGUGUGAAUUUGUGGAGUUGUA